Molecule: ribosomal RNA, 475 nt
Filed under: uncultured bacterium
Lineage: Bacteria
Description: bacterial SSU rRNA
Rfam family: Bacterial small subunit ribosomal RNA
Source: RNAcentral
GAUGAACGCUAGCGGCAGGCCUAACACAUGCAAGUCGAGGGGUAACAGGAAGAAGCUUGCUUUUUGCUGACGACCGGCGCACGGGUGCGGAACGCGUAUGGAACCUGCCUUUGUCAGGGGAAUAGCCCAGAGAAAUUUGGAUUAAUGCCCCAUGGUAACCCUUUGUUGCAUAACAUAGGGUUUAAAGAUUUAUCGGACAAAGAUGGCCAUGCGUACCAUUAGCUAGUUGGUAAGGUAACGGCUUACCAAGGCAACGAUGGUUAGGGGCCCUGAGAGGGGGAUCCCCCACACUGGUACUGAGACACGGACCAGACUCCUACGGGAGGCAGCAGUGAGGAAUAUUGGACAAUGGGCGGGAGCCUGAUCCAGCCAUGCCGCGUGCAGGAUGACUGCCCUAUGGGUUGUAAACUGCUUUUAUACGGGAAGAAACGCACCUACGUGUAGGUGUCUGACGGUACCGUAAGAAUAAGGACCG